GAUGAAGAACGCAGCGAAAUGCGAUAAGUAGAGUGAAUUGCAGAAUUCAGUGAAUCAUCGAAUCUUUGAACGCACAUUGCGCCCUUUGGUAUUCCUUAGGGCAUGCCUGUUCGAGCGUCAUUUGAAACCUCAAGCUCAGCUUGGUGUUGGGUGUCUGUCCCCGCCUCACCGCGGGGACUCGCCUCAAAAUCAUUGGCGGCCGGUACGUUGGCUUCGAGCGCAGCAGAAACGCGAACUCGAGGCCCGGCGGAUCGGCGACCAGAAGUCACUUCUUCACCGUUUGACCUCGGAUCAGGUAGGGAUACCCGCUGAACUUAAGCAUAUCAAUAAGCGGAGGA
Molecule: unclassified non-coding RNA, 338 nt
Filed under: soil metagenome
Description: partial contains 5.8S ribosomal RNA, internal transcribed spacer 2, and large subunit ribosomal RNA
Rfam family: 5.8S ribosomal RNA (bases 1-120)
Source: RNAcentral